CAUGCCUACGGGACGCAGCAGUGGGGAAUAUUGCACAAUGGGGGAAACCCUGAUGCAGCGACGCCGCGUGAGUGAAGAAGUAUUUCGGUAUGUAAAGCUCUCUCAGCAGGAACGAGACAAGACGGUACCUGACUAAGAAGCCCCGGCUAACUACGUGCCAGCAGCCGCGGUAAUACGUAGGGGGCAAGCGUUAUCCGGAAUCACUGGGUGUAAAGGGAGCGUAGACGGCUGUGCAAGCCCGAAGUGAAAGGCGGGGGCCCAACCCCUGGACUGCUUUGGGAACUGUACGGCUGGAGUGCAGGAGG
RNAcentral lists this ribosomal RNA (305 nucleotides) under uncultured bacterium. Its description in RNAcentral is "bacterial SSU rRNA". It matches the Rfam family "Bacterial small subunit ribosomal RNA", at positions 334 to 655 of the family's 1533-position model. The record is from RNAcentral.